CAGAGAUGCGUAGCCGAUGGGAAACAGGUUAAUAUUCCUGUACCGAUGUAUAGUGCGAUGUGGGGACGGAGAAAGUUAGGUCAGCCAACUGUUGGAAAUGUUGGUUUAAGCGUGCAGGUGUGAGAAUUAGGCAAAUCCGGUUCUCUGUAACACUGAGGCGUGAUGACGAUGAUCUACGGAUCAGAAGUGAUUGAUACUAAGCUUCCAGGAAAAGCCACUAAGCUUCAGCUAUAUAUUGACCGUACCGCAAACCGACACUGGUGGACGAGAUGAGUAUUCUAAGGCGCUUGAGAGAACUCUGGAGAAGGAACUCGGCAAAUUAGCACCGUAACUUCGGGAGAAGGUGCGCCCCGAUGAUGUGUAGACCCUCGCGGUCGAAGCAGUAAGGGGUUGCAGUGAAAAGGUGGCUGCGACUGUUUAUUAAAAACACAGCACUCUGCAAACACGAAAGUGGACGUAUAGGGUGUGACGCCUGCCCGGUGCUGGAAGAUUAAAUGAUGGGGUGCAAGCUCUUGAUUGAAGUCCCAGUAAACGGCGGCCGUAACUAUAACGGUCCUAAGGUAGCGAAAUUCCUUGUCGGGUAAGUUCCGACCCGCACGAAUGGCGUAACGAUGGCCACACUGUCUCCUCCAGAGACUCAGCGAAGUUGAAAUGUUUGUGAAGAUGCAAUCUCCCCGCGGCUAGACGGAAAGACCCCAUGCACCUUUACUGCAGCUUUGCAUUGGACUUUGACCAUAUCUGUGUAGGAUAGGUGGGAGGCUUUGAAGUUGUGACGCUAGUCACAAUGGAGCCGACGUUGAAAUACCACCCUGAUAUGUUUGAGGUUCUAACCUAGGUAUAACAGUACCGGGGACAGUACAUGGUAGGCAGUUUGACUGGGGCGGUCUCCUCCCAAAGAGUAACGGAGGAGUACGAAGGUAACCUUAUCACGGUCGGAAAUCGUGAGGAAAGUGCAAUGGCAAAAGGUUGCUUGACUGCGAGACUGACAAGUCGAGCAGGUGCGAAAGCAGGUCAUAGUGAUCCGGUGGUUCUGAAUGGAAGGGCCAUCGCUCAACGGAUAAAAGGUACGCUGGGGAUAACAGGCUGAUACCGCCCAAGAGUUCACAUCGACGGCGGUGUUUGGCACCUCGAUGUCGGCUCAUCUCAUCCUGGGGCUGUAGUCGGUCCCAAGGGUAUGGCUGUUCGCCAUUUAAAGAGGUACGUGAGCUGGGUUUAAAACGUCGUGAGACAGUUUGGUCCCUAUCUGCCGUGGGCGUUGGAGAUUUGAGGGGGGCUGCUCCUAGUACGAGAGGACCGGAGUGGACACACCUCUGGUGUACCGGUUGUGACGCCAGUCGCAUCGCCGGGUAGCUAAGUGUGGAAGAGAUAACCGCUGAAAGCAUCUAAGUGGGAAACUUGCCUCGAGAUAAGAUCUCCCUGGAACUAUAAGUUCCCAGAAGGGUCGUUGAAGACUACAACGUUGAUAGGUCAGGUGUGGAAGUGUAGUAAUACAUUAAGCUAACUGAUACUAAUUGCCCGUGAGGCUUGACUCU
This 1532-nucleotide ribosomal RNA is filed under the name Paramecium sexaurelia. RNAcentral's name for it is "bacterial LSU rRNA". It matches the Rfam family "Bacterial large subunit ribosomal RNA", at positions 1402 to 2925 of the family's 2925-position model. The record is from RNAcentral. Lineage: Eukaryota; Ciliophora; Oligohymenophorea; Peniculida; Parameciidae.